Molecule: ribosomal RNA, 482 nt
Filed under: uncultured bacterium
Lineage: Bacteria
Description: bacterial SSU rRNA
Rfam family: Bacterial small subunit ribosomal RNA
Source: RNAcentral
GAGUUUGAUCCUGGCUCAGGAUGAACGCUGGCGGCGUGCCUAAUACAUGCAAGUCGAGCGAACAGAUGAGAAGCUUGCUUCUCUGAUGUCAGCGGCGGACGGGUGAGUAACACGUGGGUAACCUACCUAUAAGACUGGGAUAACUCCGGGAAACCGGGGCUAAUACCGGAUAAUAUAUUGAACCGCAUGGUUCAAUGUUGAAAGACGGUUUCGGCUGUCACUUAUAGAUGGACCCGCGCCGUAUUAGCUAGUUGGUAAGGUAACGGCUUACCAAGGCAACGAUACGUAGCCGACCUGAGAGGGUGAUCGGCCACACUGGAACUGAGACACGGUCCAGACUCCUACGGGAGGCAGCAGUAGGGAAUCUUCCGCAAUGGGCGAAAGCCUGACGGAGCAACGCCGCGUGAGUGAUGAAGGUCUUAGGAUCGUAAAACUCUGUUGUUAGGGAAGAACAAAUUUGUUAGUAACUGAACAAGUCUUGA